Non-coding RNA from Pelobates cultripes (western spadefoot toad), 230 nucleotides. NCBI's taxonomy places the organism in Eukaryota, Metazoa, Chordata, Amphibia, Anura, Pelobatidae. The record is from the annotation of a GenBank genome assembly.
ACAGGACACUGUAUCUCACAGAUCCGUAUCCACCAGACAUUCUAAAAGUUCCUCUAGAUCCCGAAGUUCAAGUCACUCAACGCUUAGUGAACAGCUUAUAAAUGCCCGUGCUGAAGCAGAGGCUAGCAAAGUACAGGCUGCAUAUGCUAAAAAGAGAGCAGAAAUGGAAGCUGAGGCAGCUCAUCAAAGGGCAGCAAUUGAAGCUUUAAAGGAACAGAGCAACUAUGAGG